Oncorhynchus masou masou (cherry salmon) is the source of this 2801-nucleotide long non-coding RNA. RefSeq lists it as uncharacterized. NCBI's taxonomy places the organism in Eukaryota, Metazoa, Chordata, Actinopteri, Salmoniformes, Salmonidae. The transcript has 2 exons. The record is from RefSeq and is a predicted model, not a curated record.
UCAUCCAAUCACAGUAUAGCGUAAACGCGCCAAUUCCUGCAAAGUAAUUUCUGUUGUUCGGUCGGUUUAGUAGAUCAAGGAAAUAUGGAUAAACCUGCAAAAAAGAAAAUACUGUGCAGCUACAACAAACAAUUGGAAGAAACAAAGACGUGGGUUAAGCCCGUCAGUGGUGACUCGAUGAAAGCGUUCUGUACUUUAUGCCGUCGGGAAUUCUCAAUUGGCCAUGGAGGGAAGAAUGACUUAAUAACUCAGCAUGCAUCCACGGAAAUGCACAAGAAGGCCAUGCUAGCUAAAGGUGCUAGCAAUAUCGGUGCAUUAUUCGUAACUGUGCGGGAUAUUUUGGAUGAUAUGUACCGUCCGAAGGUGAGCCCGUGUAUUUCUUAGUUGCCAGUGAUGCCUCAAACGAGGGAAAUAGACAAAUGUUUCCAGUGCGUGUGAUAUUUAUGUGUCUAAUGGAAUGGAGUGCAAUGCAAGUUGUGAUGAAACUACGAAUGUCAUACAUCAAGCUCUGAUGAACUGUCUGGAAAAGCAUGAGCUGGAUAUUCGACAAAUCACAGCCUAUGCAGCAGAUUAUGCAGCAGAAAACACCACUCCGUUUACCAGUUAUUGAGCAGCGCCAACAAUCCCAUUCUGAAAGCUCACAUAGCUCAUAAUGCCUGCAAGCACGCCUGCUGUCAGUGGAUAUUGAGACAAUUGUUUUAAAGCUCUACAUGCGCUUCUCAGUAUAUGCUUCCCGAAGAGAGGAACUGGGUGCAUUUUUUUGCCAUUGUUGACAUUGAGUGGCGUGAAAUUCUGCGACAUGUUUGUACACGUUUGGCCCUCGCUUCAUCCAACUGUAGAUCGUAUCCUGCAAAGCUGGCCAGCUCUUACUUCAUACUUCAGGUCCCUUGGGGAGACCUGCCCUGUGGCACUGGAGAGUAUCAUUACAUACAUUGACAAGUGGUUUGAUUUGUCACCAGAAAAUGUCAUGGUGAAACUGAAACCGAUUGGCCUCUGAGCUCUCCUUCACUGACCUGGAGCAAGUGGUGGUUGCCCUCAAAAUGACAGACAGUCAGUAUGGACCAACUCUAUGAUGAGUUUUGUGCUAGCUGAGAGGAAAUACAGAAAACCAGACAAGAUACCACAAAAUCCACCAGUGAGAAGUGGGUGGCAGUUUUUCAAAACCUAGAGAAAGCCAACUUGAUCAACAUGUUCAGGAUUAGUCUCAUUUGUUCUCAGUAUGCCAGGCUCAAAUGCCUUUUGUAGACAGGAUUUUCUCUUUGAUGUCCAUUUAAAUGGUCAGACUCAAGAAACCGAUGCAGCACAGAGCUGAUCACAAAUGAACUUCAAAUAUCUGUGAACUGUGACUUGUCAUGUAAGGACUUCUCUCUGGCUAUGCAAAAGGACAAAGGACUGCUUGAAUCAGUCAAGAGCAACAAAAAAUAUCCAUGGAAAAAGUAGACUUGGCACUUCGCUCUUCUGAGAAUCUCCUUGUCUUUGAACCUGCGCAGUUUCACCACUAUACUGUAGAUCUAGGCUGUCCAACUGGGAAGAAAGUGCCAUUCAUAUGUGUGCUCUCGAUGAGUUUAAGGUACAGUUUGAGUUGAUCUGCCAGGAGUUUCUUGACCUUGACUUCUGUUUCAUGUCAAGUUUCAGUCUUUACAUCCUCAAUUCCAUUGAUUUAAGAUGUUAUUGUACUCAAUUUGUUUUCCAGGUAGUCUCCUUUGGAAGAGUGCUUGUCAAGUGUUGUUUGGAAUAUUGCGAAAUCCCCAACAUGGUUUUGAAUGCGGUCUGGCUGGAGACAUUCUCCUCCUUUAUCUUCUCCACCUCUGACUGCGUAAACUUCAAACUGUUUCAAUUCUAUUACAUCCUUAAACAGAUCAUCAACCCUUUUGUUGGUACAAUCCAUAAAGAUUUUUAUAUAACUGUUUUUGUUGAUCGAGUAGUUCAUGGAGUGUAGUGCUUGAAAUGUAUUCCUCUUCUGAAUUGAGUUUUGAAAGUAUUUGUUUUUAAAUAUACUUAGGUAUCAAAAGUAAAUGUAAUGGCAAAAAUGUACUGAAGUGUCAAAAGUAAAAGCAGAAGUCAUUUCACAUUCCUUAUAUUAAGCAAACCAGACGGAAUGAUUUUCUUGUGAUUUUAAUUUAAACUCCAACACUCAGACAUAAUUUUCUAACAAAAAAUGUGUGUUUAGAGUGUCUGCCAGAUCACAGGCAGUAGGGAUGACCAGGGAUGUUCUCUUGAUAAGUGUGUGAAUUAGACAAAGUACUUUUGAGUGUCGGGUAAAAUGUAUGGAGUAAAAAGUACAUUAUUUUCUUCAGGAAUGUAGUGGAGUAAAAGUUGUCAAAAAUAUGAAUAGUAAAAUGAAGUACAGAUACCCCAAACAACUGCUUAAGUAGUACUUUAAAGUAUUUACUUAAGUACUAUUUGCACUGAUUCUCUACAUUUCCACACACGCACACAUUCACUAACGCACACACCACACACAUUUAGUAUCACACACACCACUGCUGUCUUUAUUUAUUAUUAUUUAUUUACCAGUCUACCUUGUUCCUAACUAGUUACUAUUUGUGACCUAGUAUAUUCACAGUAUAUUCUGUACAUUUUACAAUAUAGUUCUUGUUUUUAUAAAAAAAAAAUUAUUCUCUACUUUUUGUAAUACUUUUUUUAUUACUGACAUAGUAUUUAUAUUUGUGACUGCUCUAGUUUUCCUGCUCAUUUUAUUAUUUAUUGCAAUGUUGAGGAAGAUCGCAAGUAGGCAUUUUAUUGCACUGUUUACACUGUAUACUUUGCAUAUGAUGAAUAAACUUUGAUUUGAUUUUAAA